RNAcentral lists this ribosomal RNA (253 nucleotides) under uncultured bacterium. RNAcentral describes it as "partial 16S ribosomal RNA". It matches the Rfam family "Bacterial small subunit ribosomal RNA", at positions 524 to 776 of the family's 1533-position model. The record is from RNAcentral.
UACGUAGGGUCCGAGCGUUGUCCGGAAUUACUGGGCGUAAAGAGCUCGUAGGUGGUUUGUCGCGUUGUUCGUGAAAACUCACAGCUCAACUGUGGGCGUGCGGGCGAUACGGGCAGACUAGAGUACUGCAGGGGAGACUGGAAUUCCUGGUGUAGCGGUGAAAUGCGCAGAUAUCAGGAGGAACACCGGUGGCGAAGGCGGGUCUCUGGGCAGUAACUGACGCUGAGGAGCGAAAGCGUGGGGAGCGAACAGG